This 253-nucleotide ribosomal RNA is filed under the name uncultured bacterium. Its description in RNAcentral is "partial 16S ribosomal RNA". It matches the Rfam family "Bacterial small subunit ribosomal RNA", at positions 524 to 776 of the family's 1533-position model. The record is from RNAcentral.
UACGUAGGGUGCAAGCGUUGUCCGGAAUUAUUGGGCGUAAAGAGCUCGUAGGCGGUUUGUCGCGUCUGCUGUGAAAACUCGGGGCUUAACUCCGGGCCUGCAGUGGGUACGGGCAGACUAGAGUGCGGUAGGGGAGACUGGAAUUCCUGGUGUAGCGGUGAAAUGCGCAGAUAUCAGGAGGAACACCGGUGGCGAAGGCGGGUCUCUGGGCCGGUACUGACGCUGAGACGCGAAAGCGUGGGGAGCGAACAGG